Molecule: non-coding RNA, 147 nt
Filed under: Ornithorhynchus anatinus (platypus)
Lineage: Eukaryota; Metazoa; Chordata; Mammalia; Monotremata; Ornithorhynchidae
Description: Eukaryotic small subunit ribosomal RNA
Rfam family: Eukaryotic small subunit ribosomal RNA
Source: Rfam by way of RNAcentral
CACGGAAAGGAUUGACAGAUCAAUAGCUCUUUCUCGAUUCUGUGGGGGGUGGUGCAAGGCCGUUCUUAGUUGGUGGAGCGAUUUGUCUGGUUAAUUCUGAUAACGAACGAGACUCUGGCAUGCUAACUAGUUAUGCGACCCCCCGAG